RNAcentral lists this small RNA (28 nucleotides) under Bombyx mori (domestic silkworm). RNAcentral's name for it is "ovarian small RNA-36727". Lineage: Eukaryota; Metazoa; Arthropoda; Insecta; Lepidoptera; Bombycidae. The record is from RNAcentral.
UUAGGACAAUGAUACCGAAGGUGGUUGC